Molecule: transfer RNA, 73 nt
Filed under: Merluccius polli (Benguela hake)
Lineage: Eukaryota; Metazoa; Chordata; Actinopteri; Gadiformes; Merlucciidae
Description: tRNA-Pro
Rfam family: tRNA
About the family: Transfer RNA (tRNA) molecules are approximately 80 nucleotides in length. Their secondary structure includes four short double-helical elements and three loops (D, anti-codon, and T loops).
Source: RNAcentral
GGCUCGUUGGGCUAGGGGUAUGAUUCUCGCUUAGGGUGCGAGAGGUCCUGGGUUCAAAUCCCGGACGAGCCCG